Non-coding RNA from Zootermopsis nevadensis, 739 nucleotides. The record is from RefSeq and is a predicted model, not a curated record. Lineage: Eukaryota; Metazoa; Arthropoda; Insecta; Blattodea; Termopsidae.
UUUAUAUUCAUAAACACAAAGUUCUACUUUAAUUUAUAUCGAAGCGUUUCGAUUUUAGCACAAAUAAACGCGAUACGAAACUUUUUUGACAGAAUUCACACUUGGGUAAUUUCAAAAUGUGUAAAUCCAUCAAACGAAUCGAUAUCGACACAACGUAUCCGAUACCGACAAAGAAAUUCAUGUCGACUGGCAUCUCUACGUUGUUUAUAGCACCUCGUAGAUUCACUGCAGCUUAAACCAAAGCAGAUACAGCAUACAAAACAAAAUAUCGAUAAAGGCGACAUGAUUCACUUAACAACAGUACGAAGGGCUAUCGAAAUUUACAUUAUCUGAGCCUACUUGUAGCAACGCACUGCGCCGGAAGAUGUCACGCAUGGCGAGUUUCCAGUCAGUUCUCGCCUAAUCUUCACCUAACUCUGUUGAUAAGGAAGACACUUCGUUGUCAUGGAAACAAGAACAUAAGGAAGCAAGAGAUGGAGUGGAUCGGUCGCCUUAUCUGGUACAGCCGAAGAAUCAGCGCUGAUUAUACUGGAUGUAAAGCGAGCAAGCCAUUGAAGUAAUACAAGUUGCAGCACUGGCGCUGCGGAGAUAUCUUCAUGGUGACAAGACAGCGGGUCACAGCCUCUUGGAAUUUCGCCAGAUACUAGGACUAGCACGACACAUUUCUCUGACCUUUAACCGUUUAAAAAUUCGAAGUGAAGCAGUUCAAUCCAUUGUAUACCAAAAAAUAACACUGUUC